AUGAACGCUGGCGGCGUGCCUAAUACAUGCAAGUCGAGCGAACGGACGAGAAGCUUGCUUCUCUGAUGUUAGCGGCGGACGGGUGAGUAGCACGUGGAUAACCUACCUAUAAGACUGGGAUAACUUCGGGAAACCGGAGCUAAUACCGGAUAAUAUUUUGAACCGCAUGGUUCAAAAGUGAAAGACGGUCUUGCUGUCACUUAUAGAUGGAUCCGCGCUGCAUUAGCUAGUUGGUAAGGUAACGGCUUACCAAGGCAACGAUGCAUAGCCGACCUGAGAGGGUGAUCGGCCACACUGGAACUGAGACACGGUCCAGACUCCUACGGGAGGCAGCAGUAGGGAAUCUUCCGCAAUGGGCGAAAGCCUGACGGAGCAACGCCGCGUGAGUGAUGAAGGUCUUCGGAUCGUAAAUCUCUGUUAUUAGGGAAGAACAUAUGUGUAAGUAACUGUGCACAUCUUGACGGUACCUAAUCAGAAAGCCACGGCUAACUACGUG
This 496-nucleotide ribosomal RNA is filed under the name uncultured bacterium. RNAcentral's name for it is "partial 16S ribosomal RNA". It matches the Rfam family "Bacterial small subunit ribosomal RNA", at positions 29 to 507 of the family's 1533-position model. The record is from RNAcentral.